Molecule: ribosomal RNA, 310 nt
Filed under: uncultured bacterium
Lineage: Bacteria
Description: bacterial SSU rRNA
Rfam family: Bacterial small subunit ribosomal RNA
Source: RNAcentral
GUGCCAGCCGCCGCGGUAAUACGGAGGGUGCGAGCGUUGUCCGGAAUCACUGGGCGUAAAGGGCGCGUAGGCGGCCCCGCAAGCGUGUGGUGAAAGCCCGGGGCUCAGCCCCGGGUCGGCCGUGCGGACUGCGGGGCUCGAGCACUGUAGGGGCGGGUGGAAUUCCGGGUGUAGCGGUGGAAUGCGUAGAGAUCCGGAAGAACACCGGUGGCGAAGGCGGCCCGCUGGGCAGGAAGACCCCUCACGGGGUCGGCUGACGCUGAGGCGCGACAGCGUGGGGAGCAAACAGGAUUAGAAACCCUCGUAGUCC